UAAAUUUAGGGAACGUGUUGGAUGUGUUGGUGACGAGAGGCUUCAAUUCAAAAACCGACCCGACAAAAAAGAAAAGAGCACAGAGCGUACCGCCCCGCCAGUCUCCUUCUUUGCCAAAACGCUGUGCAAAAAGUGACCAGCGCCCAGAAACAGCUCUGACGAUAAACUCUGCAAGAGAACACAGCAAUAAAGUAUGGUGUACCUGUGGUGUGAUCUAGAACUCACCCAUCCAUGUCCUCUGCCGCAACAGGCUCUGUGAGCCUGGCACCCCCAUGGUCACUGGACGGGCUUCACUGGCUCACUACAACCUUACUUCCUACAAUCUUACUAUCCCAGCAGCUCAGCUAACCUUGUUCAUGUUCUCUGCUUGAUCCGCCCUACUAUCUGUGGGUGAGCUUUCAGCCUUUCUGUCCCCAGUCUGUGGAAUUCCAUCCCAGAGACCCUCUCGCCUCCACCUUUAAAACUUAUCUUUUUGAUCAUGCUUUUGGUCACCUUUCCCCCGCCUAUCUAACCUCCUCAGCUUCCCGGCCCUCCACCUCAUAAGCUCUGUAAAGUGUUUUGAGAUGUCCUCCAACAUGGAAAGCACUGUAUAAAUGUAAAUUGUUGUUGUUGUAAAACAGAUAAUCCAAAGAAUUAUAUAAAAUUCAGCGCGGUUUCAGAAAUGUAAUGCAUUAUUGUUCAAAAGUCAUUGUGAGAACAUGUAACAGUUUAUCUUUAAUGUGAAUGAGAAAAGCCCAAAUCAUUAAAUGUUUA
Long non-coding RNA from Callorhinchus milii (elephant shark), 753 nucleotides. RefSeq lists it as uncharacterized. Lineage: Eukaryota; Metazoa; Chordata; Chondrichthyes; Chimaeriformes; Callorhinchidae. The record is from RefSeq and is a predicted model, not a curated record. The transcript is spliced from 3 exons.